RNA transcript from Phyllopteryx taeniolatus (common seadragon), 6032 nucleotides. It is a transcript of the gene named sestrin 4, with no coding region annotated. NCBI's taxonomy places the organism in Eukaryota, Metazoa, Chordata, Actinopteri, Syngnathiformes, Syngnathidae. The transcript has 9 exons. The record is from RefSeq and is a predicted model, not a curated record.
UCAUAAGUGUACCGGUGCAUUGGAGCGGCGUAUACGGCCAGCGGUCCUCCUCCUCCGCCUUUUGUUGCAAGCAGCACCCGGCAAGGGACCCACAAGACACAGCCGCAUCCAUGUAAUUUCCACACUGGGCUGGAAAAUGAUCAUCUGUACAAAUACAAUGGAGUACCAACUCAGAAGCCAGUGCCAAAGAGUCCAGAAACAGGUAAUGGUGAACAAGGAGAAGGAGUGCGUGUCUCUGGUGUUGAUGAAGGCCGUGUUGGGCCGGGGGAACGUGGACGCCAUAACGCAGCAGAUGGCCUCGCACCCGCAGUACUUGGAGAGCUUCCUGCGAGCGCAGCACUACAUCCUGCACAUGGACGGACCCCUGCCGCUCCCCUGCCGCCAUUACAUCGCCAUCAUGGCAGCCGCGCGCCACCACUGCAACUAUUUGGUGUACCUGCACUCGGCCCAGUUCCUGAGGCUGGGUGGUGACCCUGUGUGGCUGCAGGGCUUGGAGGCGGCGCCUCCGCGUCUGCGCCUGCUCGACCACAUCAACAAGGUGCUCGCUCACCAGCCCUGGCUCGCCGCCUGCUCGCACAUCAAGACGCUGCUGAAGUGUGGCGAGCAGUGCUGGUCACUGGCCGAGCUGGUUCAGGCCGUGGUGAUUCUGGCCCACUGCCACUCGCUCUGCAGCUUUGUGUUCGGCUCCAACGCCGACUCUGUGCACAUGGUGCCCCAGACCAAGUCUCCCAACGGUACUCCGCCGGCAUUCUGCGCCUUUGAUGCUGCUAAUGGCAACCCCAACGGCCCUCAGUCAUUCGACAACACCGCUGAGCAAAAUACACGAAGACUGUCUGUGGACUCGAGUAGUGACGUGUUGUGUCUGAAGGAGAGGAUCCACCGAUCCCAGGAGGAGCGAGAUAAGCGAGAAGAGCGUCUGCUGCACUCUCAGACACUCCAGCAAGCUGAUGUUGAUGAAGGAGACGAGCUGAUCUACUUUGCGGACCCGUCGCGCUUUGUCACGGACCCCGAUUUUUAUUACCAGGAGUUCGCCCGCAGGGACGAGGACCACUUCCAAGUAUUUCGUGUUCAGGACUACUCGUGGGAGGACCACGGCUUCUCCUUAGUCAACCGCUUGUACUCUGACAUCGGUCACCUUCUGGACGACCGCUUUCGAAGCGUCACCGCCCUCUCGUCUGUGCACAGCCCCGACCUGAAGAGGGCCAUCUGGAACUACAUCCACUGCAUCCUGGGAAUACGUUUGUCUGUGGUGGCAGUUACGACGAUUACGACUACGGGGAAGUGAACCAGCUUCUGGAGCGAGAUUUGAAGCUGUACAUUAAGGCGGUAGCGUGUUUCCCCGACCCCAGCAAAGCACCAACGUGUCCGCUCGGCUGGGCUCCACUUACAACUUCAGAGCGGAUACACGUGAAUUUGCUCAUCAUGGAGGCACGUCUGCAAGCGGAGCUCCUUUACGCCCUGAGAGCCAUCACUCAGUACAUGAUCGCCUGAGAGCCUCCGGCAAGCGCACUCCGAAUUUCUUGUCCCUUCGCCAUCGAGGUACACGAGAGACGUCCACUGACGCCAUGACGAGUUUCCGGCGACAUUAUCAAGAGCGCAGACCUGCUCUUUUUUCAGAUGUAUUCAAACCAGAGCGUGCCACACCCACUCCUCAUCCCCCUCAUUAUGUGCAAUCCCAACAAGACUUACUACACGGACAAAUUUGGGGAUAUUCAGCUUUGGGGUGAAAUUUGAGGAUGAAACUAAAAUGCACUUUAACCUUUACGGGUGAACUCUGUAAGCCUGUGAACGUGCGACUAUUGAAUGUUUCAGUACGUCUUGCACCACUUGCUGUAACCUCCUCCUCUAACGAGGAGCUGAACGAUCUGUCACAGAAGCCGCGCAUGAAGAUGACAAAUUGUAUCUCAACACAGCACACCACACACAUAACGAUUCCGUUGCACUGCAGAUGUCGAAUCCAGUCCUCCGAGACAGAAGGCUCAUGUGAUCUAAUGGUAACAGCCGGGAAACAAAAGAUGCAAUAUAGAAGAGGACACACGAAAGGGGGGAACGAUAGUGGUCUUGGGACUAUUUUAAAUCCUACACUGAAAAAAUCCUGGACACUGCGUGACGCUAAAUGUGAAAUCUGGUCCUCCCUUUCUGAGGUCCACUGGACUUUGCCUUUGGGGUAGGACACGUUUUUUAUUCAUACCCGUUUCCUUGUUCCUCAGUCAGGUCACGUCUUGAUUGGCUACAUUCUGAUUAACGUCACAAUUCACAGAGUCAUAACUGAGGAGUCAUCGGCUUGAUUUGAUUGGGCUGGUUGGUAUCGGCCGAUAUUUAGCAUUUUAUGCUGAGCGGCUUUAAUGUCAUAAUUCUCCGAUCCGACCAAUGACGUCAUUGAUCGACUCCGCUAAAGACAUUUACUCCGCGUCGCCGCAUGCACAGUGUAUUUGAAUCCAAAAGCUAGUUUAUUUUUAGCCUUGUCGCGUGUCUUUUGACGUAGUACUGUAAAUAUCUCAUGGCCAAAAAAAACAACGUAAUGCCCGGAUCAGACUACAAGACAAAUUGCUCUUUCAAGAUUGCACUGUCAGACUACUGCAAUAAAAUCUUGUGCUCCGCAUCCCGUUUUUUACGAUCAUUGGGCUUUAUCUUGUCAACUCAAAUGCGACCGGAUACACUCGUUACCGUGGCGAUGACAAGAAGAGUGGAUCUCGCUGACUGUUUUAUAAAAACAAAAUGGGGGGGGAAACGUGUGUUGGUGGUCACCGGUGCUCAGGACAGGAGAGGACGUUCGUUGAAGGCUUGCUUGAGGUAUGUUCCCGUACUUUUAAUACGAAACGGCUCGCAAGCAGGCAAUCAAAUGUUAUGUAGCCUCGCAAGCUACUGCUAGCACGAACGGUUGGACGUAAACAUGCUGCCGUUCUGUCGAAUCAUGCUCUAAAGUUUCGGUGUGGGUGAAGUAAUUUAAUGACAGUAAGUUAGCGCCCAUUAUUUCUGUCAUGUUGUAAUGUUGGUUUGACCUGACUGAUUAGAAUACACGAUCAGACUAGCGCAGUGAUUUCCAACCUUUAUGGAGCCAAGGAACAUAUUUUACAAUUGAAAAAUCUCACGGCACACCAACAAACAAAAAUGUUACAAAAAGUGGAUACAUUAUUUAGUGUAUUUACUUCCUGCCAUCUAAUAGAAGACCGUUCAUUUGUUCUGUCUGUCACUAUGCCUCACUGGCAUAAAUAGAGGAACAAAGAUACAUUAUUUAUUGUAAAUAGAAUUUUUUUGAGCAAUUAAAUACACAAGUAUAUACAGUAAAUGAACAGGUAAUUUAAAUGGACACAUUCCUCCAUCUUGCGAUCGGUUAUCGUUUUAUUAAACUCGCUGAUCGGUGUUCGGCCCCAAAAAUCCUGAUCGUUUAAAGCCUAUAUUAAAGACGUUUAAUAUUUAAGAUGGGUGGCCCCGACCCGUUUCAGACCCUAUUAUUUGGACAAAUUCAAUCUUAACACACACCAGACCACAGUAUAAUCCUAUAAAACAUAAAAUAAUCUGUUCUUUGUCAUCUUUGGUCGGGACUGGGCAAAAUCGCAACAAAAACAGCCCGAUGAUGUGUGUAUCAGGCCUUAGAGUAUUACAAAGUGUCAUCAGCAGGUUGCAACAAUUGAUGACUAAAGUACAUGAGCUAUUCUACUGCCCACACGGCUCUUCUCACCAAUAAUGUUCCAUUUUUGCUAUUUAAGUGGAGCGUUCAGGGCAAGUUUAAACCGUCACGGUCAUUUUUGAUGCGUCGACUUGGAGAGCCACUCGGAAAUUUGGCCCGUGACAGCUCAUUGGGAGACAUUUCUAAGUCAAACUUGUCAGCCAAUCGAAGACGGGGGUUCCCAGAGUAGCGGAUGAACCGAAAAGGUCGAGGAGAUCCGUUGAAAAAUAAUCACCUUAUAAGUUUUACUCUAAUUUUCACCAGAUUUCCUAUCGGCGAUAUCACACAAAAAUGUUCCGCAAAACGCCGUUUUUUUUUUUUUUUUUUUCACCUGACGCAAUUUCUCCAGAUCCCAUCAUCCAAUUCUCAAAAUUAUUGCUGUGUUGUACUAAGUUUUAAGUGAAACAUUCUGGCAAACACAAAAUGUCACAUUGCUAAUCGAAUUAUUUAAGUUACUUGAUUCAUCGUUGCAGCCCUAGUAAUAAUACAGAGAGACUGGAAGAGGCACAGAAAGGCAUACAAUUCUCAUUGUUGUCAAACAGAAAGUUUUGUACUGAAACUUUGAACAGCGCAUUCAAAAGUUUACAGAAGGUCAAAUUAAGUUCACCGGGGAAGGUUCUCGGCGAUUUAGGCUCAUCCUGAAAUAUAUCCUAAACUUUUUGUGUGUAGUGUACUGUAUGUCAUGAACGCUCACUUUAUGAGUAGUUGUGUAGGUUUUUUUUAUUUUUUCUUCCCCAAAAGUGGACAAGUUGAAUGUUCUCCAAGGACAAUCCUCAUUCAGUGUUGUUUGAUGGACCCCUUUUGCAUCUCCUGAGCUUUUUGUACAGUAGUUUCUUUUUAAAUAAGCACUUAUGGAGAGAGAGAAAAAAAAAAAAAAGUUUAUAUAUAUUUAUAAGAGGAAGCGAGUGGAAAAACACAGACGUGACGCUGGACAUUUUCUUAUCGUCCGUGUCGAGGGCUUGUUAAUCGAAGACCUGCUGAAAAGUUAGUCGUGACUGACUGAAAACACACACAAAAAGAAGUAAUAGUAAGCUUGUCCGUGAACGCUUUGUGGUACAAAAAAAAACAAAUGAAGAAGCUGAGCCAUCGACACGAUGAUUGUCCUUGUUUGCCUUGCUCGUUGAUGUUUUUGUGCUGUAUCGAAACAAAGUCCGUGGUACCGUUUGUGAAGCAGAACAAGGUGCGAAGUUGUUGUUUUUUAUGAUUGUUUGGGAUUUUGACAGGUUUUGUACACGAGAGCUGUUGUUGUUGUUGUUGUGCUAUGAAGGGAUUAGCGUUAGUAUGUUUGAUAUAGGACAGUGGUUCUCAAACUGGAGUCUGAAAAAUAAUUUGCAAUAUAUUAUGUGGUAUCAUUUAAAAAAAGUUUAUUCCUAAAUAUGGGGAUGAAUGCCUGCAUAAAAAAUAGUUCUUUAUCCUGACAGGAUAAGUCUUUGUAAAGAUUCAGUUUUUUUAAAAAUUAACUGAAUUUUCUCAUAACAUUUCAAAUAGUUUCUCUAAUAUAUAUAUAUAUAUAUAUAUAUAUAUUACAACUUGAGCUUGGAAAAAUACCAUUUUAUUCUCACAAGUUUGCCUUUUUAUCCUGACAAAAUGUAUUUUGUUUUUAUAAAGAUGACGACUUUUUUGGGUGGGGAAAUGAAACUAGUCUCAUAACCUUUAACUGUUUUAUUACUCUCAUCUUUCAAAAAUACAAAUAUUGUAAGAUUGACUUUUUUCCAAUUUAAAAAAAAAUAAAUAAAUAAAAAAAAAUAAAAAAUAAAUAAAAAGUUUUGUUCAGAUGACCUUUCACUCAAAAUGUUUUUAAUUUAUUAUCAUAUUACGCAGUUGUUGUUGUUUUUAAAAUAGGCAACUUCUUAAUUCUUAUGGCAUUUAGGAGUACACAAGGUAAUUGUUGAAAUUGUUAGUCCUUGGAAAAUGUACUCUCCUAGAUCCGAACAGUUUGAGAACCUCUGUCAUAGGAAUAGAACCAGAAGUGCUUUUCUCUCCCACAAAUGAUAGCACAGGUGCCUUCAGAACAAAAGUGGAGCGUUUCUGAUGACUACCGUUGGCUGCACGUAGAGCUCGGGCUAAAGGGGAAGAAAAAAAAAAAAAGACUCAAUGUGUCAUUUGUGGCUUUUUUUCCUUCUUCUUCUUCUUGGGUAACAUUUCCCGUUUGGAGAUUACCCCUGCAAAAGCCCCGGGAACUCGGCAAAAAAAUAAAUACAUUUAAAACACGGAUGUUGCAACGAUUCCAACGUGAAAGCUACUGGAAGACGUCAACAACAACUAAGAAAUGAACACUCGGAAAAGCCAACAAGAAAACCAAUUGAAAGGGGAAAAAAAAUGGGAAGUCAUGUUUUCUAUAAAGACGCUUUAAGAAAGAAAA